GUGCUCAUUUCGGCAGAACAUAUAUUAAAAUUGGAACAAUACAGAGAACAUUAGCAUGGCCCCUGUGCAAGGAUGACAUGCAAAUUUGUGAAGCAUUACAGAGGAAA
This is a small nuclear RNA of Jaculus jaculus (lesser Egyptian jerboa), 107 nucleotides long. NCBI's taxonomy places the organism in Eukaryota, Metazoa, Chordata, Mammalia, Rodentia, Dipodidae. The record is from RefSeq and is a predicted model, not a curated record.